CCGACUGUCAGCGCGCCGGGCGCGGCGGGGCCGAGACAGAUAAAACCAUCGACCGGUCGCCGCCAGCGCUUCGGCUUUAUCGAUCCGACGGGAAUUUCACUUGCUGUGCAGAUCCCGCUGUCCGGCUGUCAGACACCGGGUGGGGGGGCGUGCCAGGGGUUAGGGGUGCAGCGCCGGGCCCGCACGUGAGGGGCACAGAGGGGAAGUCCCUCUGCGGGAAGCAAAUUACUCGGAGACCCUCCAGACGGCCACCUGCCACCGAGUGGGCCUCAGCUGCGGAAGGGCAUUUCUCAGGCUCUGCUGGUUCUAGGCUAGUCCCAGUGAGCAGCCUUGUCCUCGGGAAACUCAAGCUGUCCUCUGGAGACACCCACGUGUGGAGGAGCCUUCUUGGGAAUGGCUCCCAAAGUCCCUGCAUCAAACCAGACGACUGCAGCCUUGGCUGACAUCUGAACUGCAGCCUCACGAGAGACUGAGCCAGAAGCCACGACGACCCACAGCUACCCAACUAAGCUGUUCCUGAAUUGAUGGUCCAUAGACACUGUAGAUAAUAAAUGUUUGUUGUUUCAAGCCA
This is a long non-coding RNA of Nyctereutes procyonoides (raccoon dog), 571 nucleotides long. RefSeq lists it as uncharacterized. Lineage: Eukaryota; Metazoa; Chordata; Mammalia; Carnivora; Canidae. The record is from RefSeq and is a predicted model, not a curated record. The transcript is spliced from 3 exons.